RNAcentral lists this ribosomal RNA (466 nucleotides) under uncultured bacterium. Its description in RNAcentral is "partial 16S ribosomal RNA". It matches the Rfam family "Bacterial small subunit ribosomal RNA", at positions 28 to 505 of the family's 1533-position model. The record is from RNAcentral.
GACGAACGCUGGCGGCGUGCUUAACACAUGCAAGUCGAACGGAAAGGCCCUGCUUUUGUGGGUUGCUCGAGUGGCGAACGGGUGAGUAACACGUGAGUAACCUGCCCUUGACUUUGGGAUAACUUCAGGAAACUGGGGCUAAUACCGGAUAUGAUCUCCUGCUGCAUGGUGGUGGAUGGAAAGUUUCGGCGGUUGGGUAUGGGGUCGCGGCUUAUCAGCUUGUUGGUGGGGUAGUGGCUGACCAAGGCUGUGACGGGUAGCCGGCCUGAGCGGGUGAACGGCCACAAUGGGAACGGGAGACGGCCGAGACUACUACGGGAGGAAGCAGUGGAGAAUAUUGCAGAAUGGGCGGGAGAGUGAUGAAGCACCGCCGCGUGCGGGAUGACGUCCUUAGGGUUGAAAAACGCUUUCGCCUGCGACGAAGCGUGAGUGACGGUAAAGGGUAAAGAAGCACCGGAUAAAUACG